AUUGAACGCCGGCGGCAGGCCUAACACAUGCAAGUCGAGCGGAUGAAGGGAGCUUGCUCCUGGAUUCAGCGGCGGACGGGUGAGUAAUGCCUAGGAAUCUGCCUGGUAGUGGGGGAUAACGUCCGGAAACGGGCGCUAAUACCGCAUACGUCCUGAGGGAGAAAGUGGGGGAUCUUCGGACCUCACGCUAUCAGAUGAGCCUAGGUCGGAUUAGCUAGUUGGUGGGGUAAAGGCCUACCAAGGCGACGAUCCGUAACUGGUCUGAGAGGAUGAUCAGUCACACUGGAACUGAGACGCGGUCCAGACUCCUACGGGAGGCAGCAGUGGGGAAUAUUGGACAAUGGGCGAAAGCCUGAUCCAGCCAUGCCGCGUGUGUGAAGAAGGUCUUCGGAUUGUAAAGCACUUUAAGUUGGGAGGAAGGGCAGUAAGUUAAUACCUUGCUGUUUUGACGUUACCAACAGAAUAAGCACCGGCUAACUUCGUG
Molecule: ribosomal RNA, 484 nt
Filed under: uncultured bacterium
Lineage: Bacteria
Description: partial 16S ribosomal RNA
Rfam family: Bacterial small subunit ribosomal RNA
Source: RNAcentral